RNAcentral lists this transfer RNA (71 nucleotides) under Loxodonta africana (African savanna elephant). It matches the Rfam family "tRNA". From Rfam's summary of the family: Transfer RNA (tRNA) molecules are approximately 80 nucleotides in length. The record is from Rfam by way of RNAcentral. Lineage: Eukaryota; Metazoa; Chordata; Mammalia; Proboscidea; Elephantidae.
GCAAUGGUGGCUCAGUGGUAGAAUUCUUGCCUUCUAUGCAGGAGAUCCAGAUUUGAUUCCCAGCCAAUGCA